Molecule: ribosomal RNA, 253 nt
Filed under: uncultured bacterium
Lineage: Bacteria
Description: partial 16S ribosomal RNA
Rfam family: Bacterial small subunit ribosomal RNA
Source: RNAcentral
GACGGAGGAUGCAAGCGUUAUCCGGAAUGAUUGGGCGUAAAGCGUCCGUAGGUGGCAGUUCAAGUCUGCUGUCAAAGACCGGGGCUUAACUUCGGAAAGGCAGUGGAAACUGAACAGCUAGAGUAUGGUAGGGGCAGAGGGAAUUCCUGGUGUAGCGGUGAAAUGCGUAGAGAUCAGGAAGAACACCGGUGGCGAAAGCGUUCUGCUGGGCUGCGACUGACACUGAGGGACGAAAGCUAGGGGAGCGAAUGGG